AUACGGAGGGUGCAAGCGUUGUUCGGAAUUACUGGGCGUAAAGCGCGUGUAGGCGGCUUGGUAAGUCGGAUGUGAAAGCCCGGAGCUCAACUCCGGAACGGCAUCCGAAACUGCCUCGCUAGAGUCCCGGAGAGGAAGGCAGAAUUCCCAGUGUAGGGGUGAAAUCCGUAGAUAUUGGGAGGAAUACCAGUGGCGAAGGCGGCCUUCUGGACGGUGACUGACGCUGAGACGCGAAAGCGUGGGGAGCAAACAGGAUUAGAAACCCCGGUAGUCC
This 274-nucleotide ribosomal RNA is filed under the name uncultured bacterium. RNAcentral describes it as "partial 16S ribosomal RNA". It matches the Rfam family "Bacterial small subunit ribosomal RNA", at positions 523 to 796 of the family's 1533-position model. The record is from RNAcentral.